GAUCCUGGCUCAGGAUGAACGCUAGCGACAGGCUUAACACAUGCAAGUCGAGGGGCAGCGAGGGAGUGGCAACACUUCUGUCGGCGACCGGCGCACGGGUGAGUAAAGUGUAUGCAACCUGCCCUUCACAGGGGGAUAACCGGGAGAAAUUCCGACUAAUACCGCAUACGUCCUCCGGGGGCAUCCCCGGGGGAUGAAAGAAUUAUCGGUGAAGGAUGGGCAUGCGUGAUAUUAGGUAGUUGGCGGGG
Molecule: ribosomal RNA, 248 nt
Filed under: uncultured bacterium
Lineage: Bacteria
Description: partial 16S ribosomal RNA
Rfam family: Bacterial small subunit ribosomal RNA
Source: RNAcentral